Molecule: non-coding RNA, 12938 nt
Organism: Zootoca vivipara (common lizard)
Lineage: Eukaryota; Metazoa; Chordata; Lepidosauria; Squamata; Lacertidae
Source: RefSeq, a predicted model, not a curated record
GCUGUGAGGGGAGGAGCCGAUAGGCAAACGGCCGGAGCUCGUGCGGGAAGAAAGGAAGGUGGAGGAGGAGAAGGCCGGCGCUGGGUGGGAGCUUAGGACUGUGGAAAAGGCGGCGCCGAGGCCACGCUGGGGUGGAGCCGCCUCUUUAGCCCGAGCGGGCUGGGAUGCCGAAAGGAGCUACUUGUUUUUCUUUUUCCCGCCGCAACCGGGCCGCGGCGAGAGGCUGCUUUCCCCCCUCAGGGAGCUGCUACGUUGGCAACCCCGCUAGCGCCGUAUCCUAGUCCCGGGCGCUCGGAACGGCGGCGGCCUCCUCCUCCCCCCCCCUCCCCGCGUCGCUUAGCUCUUCCCAGGGGCGCGUUUUGCCGGUGCCGCGGAGCCGCGCGGGUCCCAUGCUGCGCGGGGAGAGGCUCUGCUGCGCCGCUCUGCCGCCUGCUGCUUUGCCCUGCUGAGGAGGCGCUGCGCGGAGAGCAGAAAGAAGACCGGGGCUCGGCUUGCGGGUGGUGCUUAGCGAAGAGGGAUUUGCAAGGAGGAGUGGUGCCGCCGCCGCCGCCGCCGCCGCCGCCAUGGGGCUGCAGCCCUUGGAGUUCAGCGACUGCUACCUGGACAGCCCCUGGUUCCGCGAGAGGAUCCGAGCCCACGAAGCCGAGCUGGAGAAAACUAACAAGUUCAUCAAGGAGCUGCUCAAGGAUGGCAAAAGCCUCAUCGCCGCCACCAAGAAUCUCUCAGCUGCCCAAAGAAAGUUUGCCCAUUCACUGAGAGACUUUAAAUUUGAGUUUAUUGGUGAUGCAGAAACAGAUGAUGAACGAUGUAUAGAUGCAUCCCUCCAUGAAUUCUCUAACUUUCUGAAAAAUCUAGAAGAACAAAGAGAAAUACUGGCCCUUAGUGUUACUGAAACUCUUAUCAAACCUCUGGAAAGAUUCAGAAAAGAGCAACUUGGAGCUGUAAAGGAAGAAAAGAAGAAAUUUGAUAAAGAAACAGAAAAGAACUACAGUUUAUUAGACAAGCAUUUAAAUAUGUCAGCUAAGAAAAAAGAAACUCAGUUAUUGGAGGCAGACUACCAGGUGGAGGUAAACAGAAAACAUUUUUAUGAACUAUCACUUGAAUAUGUGUGUAAGCUACAAGAGAUACAAGAACGAAAGAAAUUUGAAUUUGUAGAACCUGUCCUGUCAUUUUUUCAGGGAAUGUUCACCUUCUACCAUCAGGGUUAUGAGCUUGCCAAAGAUUUUAAUCACUACAAAAUGGCUUUGCAGAUCAAUAUCCAGAAUACAAGAAAUCGUUUUGAAGGGACAAGAUCAGAAGUCGAAGAUCUCAUGAACAAAAUCAAGCGAAAUCCCCUGGAGCAUAAAAGAGCAAACCAAUUUGCAAAGGAAGGCUACCUUUAUGUGCAGGAGAAAAGACCUGCACCAUUUGGGUCCAGCUGGGUAAAACAUUACUGCAUGUACAAGAAGGACACUAAGAAGUUUACAAUGAUACCAUUUGAGCACAGGUCAGGAGGAAAGAUUGGUGAGCUGGAAGUCCUUCUCCUUAAGUACUGCACCAAAAGAAAUACUGAUACUAUAGAUAGGCGGUUCUGUUUUGACAUGGAAGCACUAGAUCGACCUGGUAUGCCUGUUACCAUGCAAGCAUUCUCAGAAGAGGACAGAAACCAGUGGUUCGAAGCCUUAGAUGGAAAAGAAGCUGUGUUUCUCAAUUUGAACAGGGCUAACAUAAAAAGAGAAGGAAGUGCGCAGUUGGAUAAGCUUGGGUUCACAAUUCUGAGAAGAUGCAUAAGUGCUGUUGAAACAAGAGGUAUAAAUGACCAAGGACUGUACAGAGUUGUGGGGGUGAGUUCAAGGGUCCAGAGACUUCUGAAUUUGUUGAUGGAUGCAAAGACAAGUAAUGAAGUUGACUUGGAAAAUUCCAUGGAAUGGGAAGUUAAGACAAUAACAAGUGCAAUGAAACUAUACUUAAGAAGCCUUCCAGAGCCCCUGAUGACGUAUGAUUUACAUGGAGAGUUCAUCGUUCCUGCCAAAUGUGGCACCCCCGAGUCCCGUGUUAACGCUAUCCAUUUCUUGGUUCAUAAACUUCCAGACAAGAACAAAGAAAUGCUCGAUAUUUUGGUGAAACACUUAGCAAACGUUUCAAAGCAUGCCAAGAAGAAUCUCAUGACUGUAGCAAAUUUAGGAGUAGUUUUUGGACCAACAUUAAUGCGACCACAGGAAGAAACUGUGGCUGCCCUCAUGGACCUGAAAUUUCAGAAUAUUGUAGUGGAGAUCCUAAUUGAAAACCACGAUAAGAUUUUUCAAACUCUGCCUGAUGCCACUUUCCCUGAGCCAAUUCCUGUGUCGGUAUCUCCUCCAAAUGCCCCACCACGACAAUCAAGAAGACAAGGGCAACGUAAUAAGAGGCCCAUUGCUGUAUAUAAUCUCUGUCUUGAGCUGGAUGACAGUGACAGUCUUAGCCCUCCAAAAGAAUGCACCCCCACUGGUAGCAUGGAUUCCUUGUCUUCUCAGUCUCCUACGACUGCUGCCCCCAGCAGCCCUCCAGAGGCAGAGAAAAAUCAACUUGUAGCUGACAGUGGUGACAUAGCAGACGGGACAACCAGUCUCUCCAGUGACAUUCAUUCAUCAAUGGUCUCCUGGAUGAAAGCACAGACAUGUACAGCAUCUACCACGGACACACCAGCAUUGUCAACGUUCUCUUUUCCUUCCCCUGUAAGAGAGACUGACAGACCAUCUGGAAGAAAAGCAAGAGCAGUGUAUCCAUGUGAAGCGGAGCAUAGCUCUGAAUUAUCUUUUCAAAUUGGGGCAGUUUUUGAAGAUGGUAAGUAUUAUAGCUUUCAGGGCCAACUACAAUCAAAUCUGUUGAACUCUUAGUAUGGCUUGUAAAGUAAUGGUUUUAACAUAUCUCCUGAGAUAUGAGGGGAGGUACCUGUGGCCUCUUUAAAAAAUGGUGUUUUAAGGAAGGGUACUGCCAAAUCCAGGGCUGAGGUAGAUUCUAGCAAAACCCGUCACUAUUUGUGGUGCGGCAGCAGGAGACAGCAGUGAGGCAGUACUGACAGCGGCAGAAAUAUCCAUUUGGUGUUCAUUCCAACUUCAGUGUCUAAAGGCCUGAGCCUCAGGAGUUCAAAGAUAAAAACUACACAGAGAAAUUCUUCAUAUACAGUAGCAACAAGGAGCUGUGAACUGGCUCCUUGUUCAUUUAUUUCUGCUCUUCAGCUGCUGGUUGAAAGCUGCAUGCUUUACAAGAGAACUCAGCUUUAACAGACAGCAGAAUCUUCACUGAUAAGUUAUGACCCAGAACACCUCUGUUCAAAGCCAUUGCAUAAAUGCCUUCUACACCCUUGCCCUCUCAUAGAGAAAAAUACCAAUUCAUUCUUUAUUAAUAGCUGCCCUCCAAGUCCUGAGAAAUGAGAAGGCAAACCAUUCCUAGGUUGUUUUGUCUGUAUCUUUCAUUUGUUUAUUUAAAAUAUUAAUUACCUUCUCUUCAUUACCAUAGAGGUAAUCCAAAAGAGGGUUAUAAGCUUUAAUAAGAGACAGUGCAAAAAAAAAAACCCAGCUGAAAAGGAAUAUCAGUCCAUUUAAACCUCUAAGGUAAUUUCUUUAACACUAGAACAAUAGGCUCCAGACUAGUGUCUUGCAUAUGCCCAGGUAGAAAGGUGUAUGUUCAACUAGUGCCUAAAAUGCGUGUGGGUUGGUGCUAGCUGGGUUUCAAAAGGGAAAGUGUUUAGUAACUAUCUGAGUCUUGCUCUGUCCCCGUAUCCAAUAGGAAUAUAGUUGGCGUCGUCCUCAGCUAGCAUGGAUCCUCAGUAAGAGGGCAAAUCAAAAGAGAUGACCAAUUUCCCUCCACUCAUAUUUUGAAAGAAAGCAUUGAGCUUUCCAUGUUUCCAUUUUAGAUCCAUGGGAUCCAAUCAAAUGUGCUGUUGAAAAAAAACUUUUUUUAUUUUUUAAAAAAUCAUUUUUUAAAGAAGUCAUCUAAAUAUGGCCUGUUUUUCCCAUAGUGCUCCCUACUGGCAUUUAUAUAUUAUCCCCAAAAUACAAGUUGGGAAAGUUUCUCAUGAACCUAAUCUUUUCAUGACCCCAAGGCUUGGCAAUAUAUUCUUCUCAUUUUUAAAACAGGCUGUGGCGUGUAAAGAAUCCAGAAAAGGGGGCACAGAGGAAGGGAGGAAAGGAAUAAUUUAAACCAGAAAUCUACAUCAAGUCCGUAGUUUGAAUUGGCAGAUAUGCAUUUAGUUGAACAAGAUGUCCCUGGAUUCUGUUAUUUUUGUUGCAGCAGAUGGGGGGGGGGAAAUGGACUUCUCCUCUCAUCGCCUCUCAUUUCCCCCCUUUCUUCAUAUGCACCUGGCCUGCAUAUUUACUAUUAAGAAAACAUGCCUGGUGUAGAUGCUUCCUGUCAAAAGCUACCUUACAGGCAGAUUGCGUUUGAGUCAAGUGUGAUAAAAGAGGAAUUAGAUAAAUAUAUAGUUCUUCAAAGCUUUCUCUUGAAAGCAAGUUUAAAUUUAUUGUAAGGGUGGGGAUCCUUAGCAUAUCUGUGAAGAACUCUUCUAGUCAAAUCUGAGGACAAGACAGUCUCUUGGAGCACGUGGUUCACAGCACGGGAAUUUUCAGGCAUGUCACACCUUGUGUUUAUUCCUCAAAAGGGGGAAAGCGAGAUGCACUAAGAUCCUCUCUCUUAGGUCCUGCUGAAAGUAAUACUGUAGCAGCAUGGGAGUUUCCACAUGUGUCUUUAUUCCCAGAACACACUGAAACCUUGAAACCUGUGGCUCUGAACCACCAUAGCAAUGCCUUCCAGAUCAGGUAGCUAUCUUGGGAGUGCUUCGGAACCAGACAAGCUGCCCAAACUACAUGUGGACGUGUCCAUAGUAAUGUAAUGUGAGCACUGCUGUGUAAUUUCUGCCAUUACUCGAGCUGUGUCUCUGGGUGAAAGAGAAGGAGAAGGGAGACAGCUUUGCUCUCCUGGGCUUCUAAAGCCCUUUUUUCGGGGGCUGUUCCUGGACAGGAGAGGAUGACCCUCUUCUUACCUUCAAAAAUGGUUUGUCCCAGGUUUUCCUCUCGGACAUUCUACGUCAGCUCAGUCCAGCAGCCAAGGCUACUAGUGAAGCCUGCAAUAAAAAUCAGAGCAUAUAUUGCAGCCUCCCCAGGUGCUUAGAAAGGUGAGGUAAUUUUAAUCUGUUUUAGUAUUUUAACUUUCGUAUGUUUUAAAGUAGGGUUGUAAUUCCCCCCACCCAGAUUUUAUUGUUUUAUCUUUUUUGUAAACCACUUUGAGGAUUUUUACAUUCAGUGUAUAUAUUUGAUGAACUAAUAAGAUGACCCUGGAUGAUGGUGGAGGUGGUGGUGAUGAUGGUGAUGAUGAUGUGUGUGUGUGAGAGAGAGAUGUUUCAAUUUUUCCAAAUACAGUACAGUCUACAUGGUACUGCACAAACUGUAAGAGCACAACAGCAACAAAACAAGUGAAGGGGUUGCUAAAAAGGGAGGGAUAAACAAAAUAAAAACCUAAUAAAUCACGUCCACGAGCUUUAACAUUACUUUGAUUCACUGUAUACGCAGUGAGUAGAUACCAAGUGCUUAUAAACUAGUCUUUCACACCUUUUUUAUUCUGCUCACAUCAGUUAAUUUUUCUCCCAGGGCUAUUUCCCAGACAUUGGACCACCCAUGCACCAUUUAUAAUUUUUGUAAACCUCUUGAUGCCACCCUUUAUUCUAGGAGAGGGGACCCUCCAGGUGAUGUUGGACGGCAGUUUCCAUCAGCCAGCAUAAUGGGAGUUGUACUCCAACAACAACUAGAGGGUCCACCACCUCUCAGCUUCAGGGUUUGUCCUAAACUAAAAAAAAUUUAGGCAUGGGGAAGAUGCUCCCCAGUCAGUAAAUGUACAGCCCCUUUAUAUUCAUAUUCUCCCCCCCCCCACGUAUGAGCUUCUACGGCAUGGCUUCUCCCCACAUUGCGAAGUUAAGAUCAGAAAACUCGGAACCACAUAUAAAAUCAGGCUGCAGCUCAUGGUAGGGCACCUGCUUCCUGUGUUCCAAUCCCUCAUAUCUGCAGUUUCAAAAAAGGGUGACAAGUGAUUUGAAAGACCACUGCUGCUCAGGGUAGAAAAUCUAGACUACAUGGACAAAUUAUCUGACCCUGUUAUAAAGUAGCUUACCAUGAUACCUACACAUUGAAGUUACUUACAUUGAAUGUUACCCCUUUUUGCUGUUUUAAGCUCUUUAGUUUUGCUCAAGAUCUUAAUAUCCUGAAUAAUUUGGUGUUGUGUUCAAACUUGGCUGUCUUACAAUUAUUCUGUCUCUAGCCUGGAACAAGUAUGAUCCUUUGCCCUCUUCCCUCCAUUGUGAAAACCCAUUUAUUGCAGGUGGUUUCAGCUUUAAAAAGCAUAGUAAUUCCAAACACAGUGUAACAGCAGUUUUCAUUACUGGAGAGAAUGAUUAGUUAAGCUCCCAUAUUUACUAAAUCUGUAAAACCAUCUUGUUCUCGUUUGCCCUUCAACAGUCCUCUGAAUAAGUCACAUCUCCUCCAUUCCUGAUCUCACUUCCUAUCCCCUUGUGCGCUUAGACUGCGUACCAGUUCCAUGGAAUCAAUUCAAAUUCAUCACUCAGUUUAAAUUCCCACAUGCCUUAAUAAGCCCUUAAAUGAAGAAUUAAGAUAAUAAUACAUCAUUUCUGCUGCUCUACCAAUAACUUUAACUAUCAAAGUGACAGUGCAUCAAUCAAAUUGACAUACUGUUAGUAUCAACCAUUAAAAUAACUGUUAAAUUAGUGUCUGACAUGAGGUGCCACUUCCAUUAAGGGAAAUUUUAUAUCUUUCUUACCCCUCCCUACCUCCAUUUUAUUUUUCCUCUUGGCCCCCCCUCCAUCUGUAUUCCCCUCCCCUUUCUUUUUCAUACUUUAAAGUGAGAAACCCUUAAGGUGGCUGUGGAAUUAAGAGAGUUUCCCAUUCUCACCUAGCUUCUUUCCCCUACUGCUUGAAGGGGGAUGGGGAUAGGGGGUGGGAUGUAGGCUGGACUUGCCUCAAAGUGAAAAAGUGAAUGGCAGAGGCUGGGUACAGCAGCAGAUCCAGAAUCUGCUGACUGGACCUCGGAGCUGUUGGUUCAGCCUGAUGCUGCAGAAGGCAAAUAGCAGGCCAGGGCACUAGACAGCCUUUCAGCAACUGAUUAAUGGUUUUCCCCAAGCAAUUUUUUCCCCAAGGACAAAACUGCUGAUUCAAAUCUUACAGUAAAGAGAUUGGUAUUCCUUCCUUCCUUCCUAACCUGUUUUCGCCUGCGAUUCUGCCUCUUCAAAGAAGAGGCUCCCAUCUAUGCAUGCUUGUAGAGCAAGGGUAGGGAACCUUUUUCCCUCCUGAAAGCCACAUUCCCUUCUGAGCAGUGAGCAGUGUUCCAAGGAGCAUAUGCAGAAGUGGGCAGAGCCCAUCUCUGGGAAGCUCAAGCUCCUCCCAGUGCCCAUUUGCAUAGCUGGCACUUGGUUUUAAUACAUUGUUCAGAACAGAGCCAGCCACAAUAAUGAUGGCGCCACAUAUAAAGUGGAGCCUGUGGGGGUGAAGGGAGUGCAAGGAAGAUCAUUGCUAUCCUUUCUAGCUACAGGCACUUCUAAACAUUGUCAAAAUACUUUUAAAAGCCGCUUCUCUUCAUUCAUAGGUUUCCGAAAGGGGUGGAAGAACUGAGACAAAUAAAUAAAUAAAUAAAUAAACAAAUAAAUAAAUAAAUAAAUAAGUACCAUGGUUAUGUGAUUCUGGCUAUAGGCGCCAGUAGUCCUUAACUUCUUGGUAAUCUGAAACCAAAUGAGGUGAAAAUGUAUUGGAACUCUCACACAUGCUAGAUCUUGAAACUAUAAGGAUUGUUUUAUUAGGGUGCAAGAACUGUUUGCGACAAGAACUGUUUUUUGGGGUAGAAACCACCGCCUGUUACUCAGACAUACCGUACUCUACUUCUUGUGGCCUCUGUCCCAGAGGAAGCUACAACAAAGACAUGACAUAUGUAUCUUUAACUUCCCUAAAAAAUGAAUAGUGUGCAUUCCUUCUUACCUCAAGUAGCUAUUGUCAUCAUUGCAGGGUACUAUAAAAGCGGGGGAAUUGCCUCUUUGGUUGGCAAUCACUUUAAGAUAGUUCCUGGGGAACAAUAAGUAUCACCUGAGAGGAUCUAAUAAAAGUUUUUUUAACACCACCUCCACUUAUUUUCUUGGAAAAAGCCAAUGUGACAAUGAGGUAACAGAUAACUUAGUGAGAGUCUGGGCAUCUCAUUAUCAUGUGCAUCUGCGAGCUAAGUUGCCAAUGCAGUUUUAACAUUUGGCAAUGGAGGCAGAGGAGAUUUAGUCCAAGCACUACUGACUAGUGCAGUAUUCCACACAGUGCCCAAGAGCAAAGGGUGUUGUGAGGGACAGGGGAUAUCGCGAAGUCCCUCCCCUCCUGAGUUCAAGCCCAUCCCCGAGUGCAGGGGAAAGCAGGGAGAGUUCCGAUUCCAGUGGGGAAGCAGGAAGUCGUGUCCGAGGCUCAGACAAGGUAGCGGAGCCAGGGUCCCAGGUGGGACAGGAAGGGGCAAGCAAGGGGGGCAGACCCAUCCCCCCAACUCCGGAAUUGCGCAGAAAGCGGAGAGGGAAGAGGAUGGGUCUCCCCAAGUUGUUAUGUUGGAGAAAAACGCGCCAAACACCAUUCGGAGGUUCUGAUUCAAGCUGAGAAGAUGUGUUCUUGUAAAUAGCAUUGCCUUCAGCACUGUAAAUACGCAGCACCAAUAAAAGAUAAAAUGCAGAGCUGUGUAGAGUCGUUACUCUGAAGUAGCCCGCUCCGGCCACUGUGACAGGUGUCAUCAAGAUAGCUUCCCUUUCAUGUGUCAUGAGGUGUCCACUUCAUUGCAGCUACUGCUGUCAUAUCAAACACUUUCUCCACCAUACAGGUUGUACAUGCAUAUGAUGUGAUGUGCAAAAAAAAAGGGGGGGUCUCGGGUUCUCUUGGUGUCACCUCCAGUUAGAAUAGCCUCAAAGUAACUUCCUUGAGGGAAUAAAGGAAAUGUGGCCCUCCAGACCCCUCUAUCUGUUCCUUGGGACUCUGCUCUAGCCAUACACACCCAGAUCUCACCCUGCCCUGCUCCACACUCUCCUCAAGUGCUUUGUAGGGUGGGGUACUUGCAACUUCUGGUGGGAAUGUUGCCUGCUGCACAGAGGUAAGAGAGACAUCCGUAGCUCAGCCACUUUUGCUCCUGGCCUCACCCACUAUUGGCAUGUGGCCCCAGAUUGUCCAUGAAGGAAUGGGUUUGGGAAAGGGUCCUCACCACUGGGGUCAAGAAAGUAGAUAGAUGCCAGUCAGCUGGCUCACACACAUGCCCCCUUAUGAGACUUUUGGAGUGUGCAACAUAGGAGAAGCAAAUCUAAGGAAUACUAGAAUGGUGUGGGUAAGAGUGAGCAUGGCAGGGGGAGAGAAUGGGCAUGUGUGGUGUGUAUGAAUGAAAGGUGACUUCGUCUCCCUGCACCACAACUGCUUUCUCUGUGAUAAAUAUAGGGUUGAUAUUUAUAGAUUUAAAAAUAUACUGCCAGGAAAUAGUACAGCUCACUGAAGUGAAAGGACAUAUUUAUCUUCCUUCUGCAAAUCAAAACUACACAUGAAGGCAAUUUGUAUUUGUUUAGAAAUAUGUCAGUUUUGAGGGAAAGGCUGUAUGUCUUAGUGAGUAGAUUUUCUUUAUCAUGGUUAGCUGAAGGACGAUUGUUAAAACUUAUAUAAUUAUAGCUACAGAGGAGCUGAUUUGUAGUGUAAGCUAAAGUGGCAUAGUCCCUAAAACCAUGUAUUCCAGAGAGAUCCCACAGACAUCAAGCAGGAUUAUACCCUGCUCGCUUUGAAAUUACUCCUGUGCCACCAAUUUUAGUGGGACUAAAAUAGCUUAAGUGAUUCAAAUGGAAGCCUAAUAGACUCUGUGCAGUGCAAAGACAUUUCAGUUAAUGUGGCAGAAAUUAUGCAUAUAAUUUGUUGCAUACAGGCAGCCCCAGUGCAGAAGUGUCCACGUAAGCUCAUUGAUUUCAGUCUAUACGGCCACAAUCUCUCAUGUUUUAGUCUUUAUGUUGUAUGAAUAAAGCCGUGUUUCUAAAAGAGUCCAAUUCUAUUGUCAUUAGCCAGACAUAGUGCAGAAGAAAUGCCUCAUAUAGGUUUGGGGUAGAGACAGAUCUGUUGGGAGAACUGAGAACUGAUUCUGAGAAAGUUAUCAGCCAAGUUGAAUGUGCCAUGUUCAGAAUUGCCUAAAUUGGACCAGUAGGCAUCCAAGCAAACCUUAGUUGUCAUUAGUGAUUCCCUAGCUCUCUUCCCUCACUAAAACUCAGUCUAAGUAUGCGGAAAUGAACUGAAUGCAUGCAUACUCUUACCCUGGUCACCUAUACCUCCUUCUGUUUCCUGUCUAUUGCCUCUCCAGUUUCAAAUUUUGGUAUGUUGGCAUCUUACCGUAGAUACCUCUUUUUGAUAGUCACUCUGUUAAGUACCAUGCCCCUGGUGGUACUAGAUUCAGGCAGGUAGCCAUGUUGGUCUGACGCAGUUGAAUUUUUUUUAAAAAAAUUGUCCUGUAGCACCUUAGAGACUAAGUUUGUUCUGGGUGUGUUUUGUGUGCAUACACACUUCUUCAGAAAGCUUAUACCCAGAACAAACCUGGUGGUACUGUUAAACAUGGAUAGGUUCAACAGGUAUGAAAUGAUCUGGUAUACCUUUCUUGAGUUUAAAUUUACUUCUGUGGACAAGAACUACUGAAGAUGAGCAGAUGUUGCAUCUUCCAUGAAGUAGUAUUUAAACUCUGAGCUUCAGAUAAUGGCUAAUUCACAAGGCCUCUCUUUCGCAUCUAUGAUGGCCUUUUCUUUCACAAGGCCUCUCUUUCGCAUCUAUGAUGGCCUUUUCUUGGGGAACAUGAGCAUUCUGCUCUGCAGUUGAGGACCAGUAGGGACCAGUAGGGAAGUCACUAUGGUCUAAACCACUGAGCCUCUUGGGCCUGCCGAUCAGAAGGUUGGCGGUUCGAAUCCCCGCAAUGGGGUGAGCUCCUGUUGUUCGGUCCGAGCUCCUGCCAACAUAGCAGUUCGAAAGCAUGUCAAGUACAAGUAGAUAAGUAGGCGGGAAGGUAAAUGGCAUUUCCGUGCACUGCUCUGGUUUUGCCAGAAGCGGCUUAGUCAUGCUGGCCACAUGACCCGGAAGCUGUACGCCGGCUCCCUCGGCCAGUAAAGCGAGAUGAGCGCCGCGACCCCAGAGUCAUUCGCGACUGGACUUAGCUGUCAGGAGUCCUUUACCUUUACCUUUACCUUUUUAUGUCACCAGUGCAAGCAUUUUCAGCCAUGCAGUGAACCGGGACAUGUCUUUAUGGCUUCACCACCGCAUACAUUUUCCUAUCUUGGUGCUAGGACAAAAGCACUACAUGUGAAUAAAAAAAAGCUGUGUUUUCUUUCUUUCUUUCAAAAUUAAAUGGCCAGUUGAACUGUAAACAAUGUUGGUAUAUCCAUUACCUUGUCACUGACAAGAGACUCCUGUUAGCUUUAUGGUGCAAAAUAAAGGCUGCUUAGUAUGGAUAAAAUAGGACCAAUUAUAAUUUAACCUUUAAGAUAAUUGCUGGCAGAAGUAGUCUGUCUAAUAUGUUUGUAUCCCGAUUAAUGUGUAUUCACCUGUACUGUCUCGGCAAUCUUAAUAUGUAUGUCGCAGUGUGUCAGCUGCUGUGAAGGAACUUUUUAGAGACCCAAUUGCGGGGAUGUGGAAUCAGUCCAUUUAAAAGGUGUGCUUACCCUAUGCAGUGAAAAUUAAAAAGCGUAAAUGUUAUGCCAAUUAUAGUUUUUUUAAUCUUCUAUUUGAGAGUGGUAUUUUUCUAGGUAUUCCUUUUGAUAUUCAAAACUUUCCAUUGUGAGUUAUGUUGUGUGUCCCCCCCCCAAAAAAAGUAGCAUCAGUGUAAAUAUCUAUUUUGUGAUUUUGAAGCUGUGUGCAUCAAACAUUUGUAAAGACUAUGGUCCACCUUGCCAAGUGGGAGUGAUAAUGGCUUCAUUAUCCUCCUACAAACCAUUUGUAUUAAGUAUACAGUUACUGCAGUGUUUGCUGUGCUACCUAUAGAUUUGCGUUGGUGUUGUUUGCAAAACUCUUAGUAACUUAAUGUGUGGGAUUAGAAAAAGUGAAGGCCAGCCCCAAAGAUCUUUGGGAGAACCAGUGAGUUCCUGGGUGGACAAAGGGUUCCUGUUUGAUUCAGUAUAAAAAACAAGUACAUUUGUACAUUCCUAUGGCAUCCCCGGUAUUACUAGGAAUGAAGGAAUAUUUAUUUAUUUAGGUGCCUCCCGCGUGAGAAGAUAUCUGCAAUCAUUUCUUCUUCCAAAUACUGAAAUUUCUUUAAAUUGCCUGUUACAAGGUUUCAUCAUCAGACUGGCUAUUCUUGUGAUCUGUUAGAAAACAGAAGAUGGUACCAAUCUUACGUUAAAAAGUUGGCGAAGCUUGGUUUUGGGGGGCAUUUUUGAGACCCACAUUCCUACUUUUGUAUCUCUAAUAAGCCUUUAAAGGCAGUCUUACCUCUUAGCUCUGUUUGGAGUUUCAUCUUCAAAUAGCAAUAGUAUUAAAUGGUACAAGUUCCUGUGUCUUUCCUUGCUGAUAGUGGUGAAACAGAAGGAUGGGGUGGGGAAUGCAGAUCAAAUGAUGGGUAGGGAAACGUUGAAGCAGCCCUUUCGCUCCCACUGAUCACCAAAUCCUCAAGAUUCCACCCUCCUUAAAGUACUGUCGCUGAAGGGGGGGGAUCUAUCAUGAAAAAGACUCAUGCAAGUGCGCUUAUCAUGUAGUUUGCCCCUCAUACAAGUCUGCAAUUAAAGUAGUUCGGGGGGGGGGAGAGAGAGAGACUCAAAAGACCCCCUCUGUCUGUCUGUGAUUGUGAGUAAAAGAGUUUCAUGGACUGUCUUAAGCUGUAUCGUUGACUUCCAGCUGUACAAUUCUGUGAUUCUGUGACUUCUGUCAUAAAUAGUGUAUUAAUAGGAGUGUGUCUGUUUUCUCCCC